RNAcentral lists this ribosomal RNA (404 nucleotides) under uncultured bacterium. RNAcentral's name for it is "bacterial SSU rRNA". It matches the Rfam family "Bacterial small subunit ribosomal RNA", at positions 430 to 826 of the family's 1533-position model. The record is from RNAcentral.
GCACUUUAAGCAGUGAAGAAGACUCCAUGGUUAAUACCCAUGGACGAUGACAUUAGCUGCAGAAUAAGCACCGGCUAACUCUGUGCCAGCAGCCGCGGUAAUACAGAGGGUGCAAGCGUUAAUCGGAAUUACUGGGCGUAAAGCGAGCGUAGGUGGCUUGAUAAGUCAGAUGUGAAAUCCCCGGGCUCAACCUGGGAACUGCAUCUGAAACUGUCGUGCUAGAGUAUGUGAGAGGAAGGUAGAAUUCCAGGUGUAGCGGUGAAAUGCGUAGAGAUCUGGAGGAAUACCGAUGGCGAAGGCAGCCUUCUGGCAUCAUACUGACACUGAGGCUCGAAAGCGUGGGUAGCAAACAGGAUUAGAUACCCUGGUAGUCCACGCCGUAAACGAUGUCUACUAGUCGUUGG